CUCAAAAUGAUCUGUGAAGGCUUUUGCAUCUAGUAGUACCAUGCAAUGGUUUUAGACAAGGCAGCUCCUGACGUACCUGCUCUGAGUCACAGUGGGUUUUAGACAAGGCAGCUCCUCACUGUUUAUCUGAAUAGUAAAUACUCCAGAUAUCUCCUCCUCUAUAUGCCCACAGACUGACCUGUUUAUCUGCCUCCCUUAUUGAUCAUUCUCUCUAAAUAAUUUGGCUAAUAAAGGUAUUCUUUAUGCUGACAUUUGACCACUUUCCAACUUUCCACUUCUCUUUGGCAGCUGGAAAUGAACAGAUGGGAAGUAUUAGUAGCAUUAAAUGAUGGGGAGGAUUAGUAGCAUUAAAUGAUGGGGAGGAUUAUAGCAUUAAAUGAUGGGGAGGAUUAGUAGCAUUAAAUGAUGGGAGGAUUAGUAGCAUUAAAUGAUGGGGAGGAUUAGUAGCAUUAAAUGAUGGGAGGAUUAGUAGCAUUAAAUGAUGGGAGGAUUAGUAGCAUUAAAUGAUGGGGAGGAUUAGUAGCAUUAAAUGAUGGGGAGGAUUAGUAGCAUUAAAUGAUGGGGAGGAUUAGUAGCAUUAAAUGAUGGGGAGGAUUAUAGCAUUAAAUGAUGGGAGGAUUAGUAGCAUUAAAUGAUGGGGAGGAUUAGUAGCAUUAAAUGAUGGGGAGGAUUAGUAGCAUUAAAUGUAGAAUAUUGAACUAAAGUAAUUGGCAGAGCUUUUAAGAUGUUGAUUGAUAUUGUUUAUAUAAAAACCGUUUCUAAUCAGGUCGAUGAGGAGUCCUGCUGACCAGACUUUACUCCCGUCUUUCAACUCUGUAUUUCCCCAGUGUUUUCCCUUAGUUAAACCACGUAAGAGAUCAGCAGGUUCUGGAAACCUUGGUCCACAACCUUGGCCUCAAAACACCCCCAGAAUAACACAACUAGUUGAAUAAAAGGUUUCUCUCAAAUCCCUC
Molecule: long non-coding RNA, 953 nt
Filed under: Salmo salar (Atlantic salmon)
Lineage: Eukaryota; Metazoa; Chordata; Actinopteri; Salmoniformes; Salmonidae
Description: lncRNA (ENSSSAG00000082414.1)
Source: RNAcentral